AACGAACGUUGGCGGCAUGCCUAAUACAUGCAAGUCGAGCGAACAGAUGAAGUGCUUGCACUUCUGACGUUAGCGGCGAACGGGUGAGUAACACGUAAGGAAUCUACCUAUAAGCGGGGGAUAACAUUCGGAAACGGGUGCUAAUACCGCAUAAUAUCUUCUUCCGCAUGGAAGAAGAUUGAAAGACGGCUCUGCUGUCACUUAUAGAUGACCUUGCGGUGCAUUAGUUAGUUGGUGGGGUAAUGGCCUACCAAGACGAUGAUGCAUUGCCGACCUGAGAGGGUGACCGGCCAAAUUGGGACUGAUACACGGCCCAAACUCCUACGGGAGGCAGCAGUAGGGAAUCUUCCGCAAUGGGCGAAAGCCUGACGGAGCAAUGCCGCGUGAGUGAAGAAGGCCUUCGGGUCGUAAAACUCUGUUAUAAGAGAAGAACAAAUUGUAGAGUAACUGCUACAGUCUUGACGGUAUCUUAUCAGAAAGCCACGGCUAACUACGUGCCAGCCGCCGCCGUAA
This 513-nucleotide ribosomal RNA is filed under the name uncultured bacterium. RNAcentral's name for it is "partial 16S ribosomal RNA". It matches the Rfam family "Bacterial small subunit ribosomal RNA", at positions 29 to 523 of the family's 1533-position model. The record is from RNAcentral.